This 81-nucleotide transfer RNA is filed under the name Methylacidiphilales bacterium. Its description in RNAcentral is "Candidatus Methylacidiphilales bacterium tRNA-Leu". It matches the Rfam family "tRNA". Rfam says of the family: Transfer RNA (tRNA) molecules are approximately 80 nucleotides in length. Their secondary structure includes four short double-helical elements and three loops (D, anti-codon, and T loops). The record is from RNAcentral. Lineage: Bacteria; Pseudomonadati; Verrucomicrobiota; Methylacidiphilae; Methylacidiphilales.
GCGCUCGUGGCGAAAUGGCAGACGCGCAAGCUUGAGGUGCUUGUGGGGUAACCCAUGGAGGUUCGAGUCCUCUCGAGCGCA